This is a long non-coding RNA of Gopherus flavomarginatus (Mexican gopher tortoise), 450 nucleotides long. RefSeq lists it as uncharacterized. The transcript is spliced from 2 exons. NCBI's taxonomy places the organism in Eukaryota, Metazoa, Chordata, Testudines, Testudinidae. The record is from RefSeq and is a predicted model, not a curated record.
GCCAACUGGUACUGAUGGGACUGCACUUGUGCAAACUGCAGCGCUCACAUUCGUCAUCACUACGGCUAAGAUUUUGUCACGCAUAUUUUGAGCAAAAGUCACAGGUCACAGGCAAUAAAGAAGAAUUCACAGAAUCCCGGAGUGGUUUUGUCCUUCUCAAGGAUCUGUAUGUGUUGGGCAAAGGAUGUGCCUUCUUAUAUACCCUGACACUGUCGAUCAGGUAGAGAAUCAUCAGCCUCAUCCUAAGUUGUUACCAGCUAUACGGGGCUUGGAGAUGCUAUUGUGCCAAGAAUUUUAGCAUGAGUUUGAGGAGGAAAGGAUAUUGAGUCUGUUUCCAUUCAUUUAUUAAAUAUUUUUAAAUUUCAGUUUUAAUUUUCUGUUGAUUUUUGCUUUGUUUUGUAGCUGAAACUCUAUAUGUUUCUUAAAUAAAAAAAGAAUAUGCAAAAUGUA